RNAcentral lists this unclassified non-coding RNA (253 nucleotides) under uncultured Planctomycetota bacterium. RNAcentral describes it as "uncultured planctomycete contains 16S-23S intergenic spacer region". It matches the Rfam family "Bacterial small subunit ribosomal RNA", at positions 524 to 776 of the family's 1533-position model. The record is from RNAcentral. Lineage: Bacteria; Pseudomonadati; Planctomycetota.
UACAGAGGUGGCAAGCGUUGCUCGGUAUCACUGGGCUUAAAGGGCGCGUAGGCGGUGCGGUGCGGUUCGUGUGAAAUCCCUCGGCUCAACCGAGGAACAGCACGGGCAACGGCCGCGCUAGACGGCAUCAGGGGAAAGUGGAACUCCCGGUGGAGCGGUGAAAUGCGUAGAUAUCGGGAGGAACGCCGGUGGCGAAAGCGACUUUCUGGGGUGCCUGUGACGCUGAGGCGCGAAAGCUAGGGGAGCAAACGGG